AGUGCGGGUUUGCGGUUUAGUGAAGGAGCAAGGCUCAUGUGAAUAGAAGAAUCCAAGGUAGAGCAGGAAGAGAAAUCCAGCUAGAGAAAGAGGUGGAAGUCAAAAUAAGUAGACUCUUAUUUUAAAUUUUUAAUGGCUUCUUGGUGGCUUCAAGAUAAAAAUUGAUUUUUCUGAGAACAAAAUAAAUAUCCACAGUGAGUCACAAAUGUAAAUGUAUUGAGUGCCCAAUGUAUGGAGCCCUUUCUCCAAGACCUCACUGCCGUAAAUACAAAUAUAACUGAGAACUGGUGAUUUGAAGAUGAUUCUUGGGAUAGCGGGCUAGGCGGCACUUCACACUGGCUUUUGGGGCCACAUAGGGGUGUAAUCAUGUUAUCACCCUGCACAACCCCAGAGGGUACCAUACACAACCCAUUUGACCAAACAUGGCAGUCCUGAAAGGAAUGAUGAUUGAAAGCCAAGACUGAGCUUUGGCAAGGAAACCACCUCUGAAUUACCAACUCAUUGUCUAUAAUGUAAUGAUAGCAUCUACCUCUUAGUAAUUUUGUGAACAUUAAAUGAAUAAAG
Molecule: long non-coding RNA, 564 nt
Filed under: Homo sapiens (human)
Lineage: Eukaryota; Metazoa; Chordata; Mammalia; Primates; Hominidae
Description: non-protein coding LINC02498:12
Source: RNAcentral